RNAcentral lists this unclassified non-coding RNA (428 nucleotides) under Hevea brasiliensis (rubber tree). The record is from RNAcentral. Lineage: Eukaryota; Viridiplantae; Streptophyta; Magnoliopsida; Malpighiales; Euphorbiaceae.
AUCGUCAUCUUCUUCUUCAGCAGCUGAGGCCUUACUGUCAGCAACAGGGGGAGUUGCCACAGCUUCAGUGAUAGGUGCAGAUCCCUCUACAAUAACACCAGCACCUUCACCGGAUACACCAGAGAUUCUCAGAAGAGCAUCAAUAUGCUUAUACCACCUAGACGCAUUAACAUAUUCAGCUGAUGGGGAUUUUGCUAGAUAUGAAUACACAGUGAUAUCAUCCUUUGAGGCUUGGUACCCAGUGAUGUAACUGCGGGCCAAGAGGUACUCAUCAAGCUUCUUGAGGCCAGAGUCAGAGUUGAGGUUGUGGAAUGCAACAGCCAUUGCUUUAGGACAAUGUAAGCUUUUCGACGGUUGCUGCUGCUCUGUUGAUAACGGAGAGGAACUGGAGGCGUCGAGCAGUACGGCGGCGAAAAGCUUACAUUGUC